CUUGCUUCUCUUGAGAGCGGCGGACGGGUGAGUAAUGCCUAGGAAUCUGCCUGGUAGUGGGGGAUAACGUCCGGAAACGGACGCUAAUACCGCAUACGUCCUACGGGAGAAAGCAGGGGACCUUCGGGCCUUGCGCUAUCAGAUGAGCCUAGGUCGGAUUAGCUAGUUGGUGGGGUAAUGGCUCACCAAGGCGACGAUCCGUAACUGGUCUGAGAGGAUGAUCAGUCACACUGGAACUGAGACACGGUCCAGACUCCUACGGGAGGCAGCAGUGGGGAAUAUUGGACAAUGGGCGAAAGCCUGAUCCAGCCAUGCCGCGUGUGUGAAGAAGGUCUUCGGAUUGUAAAGCACUUUAAGUUGGGAGGAAGGGCAGUAAAUUAAUACUUUGCUGUUUUGACGUUACCGACAGAAUAAGCACCGGCUAACUCUGUGCCAGCAGCCGCGGUAAUACAGAGGGUGCAAGCGUUAAUCGGAAUUACUGGGCGUAAAGCGCGCGUAGGUGGUUCGUUAAGUUGGAUGUGAAAUCCCCGGGCUCAACCUGGGAACUGCAUUCAAAACUGACGAGCUAGAGUAUGGUAGAGGGGUGGUGGAAUUUCCUGUGUAGCGGUGAAUGCGUAGAUAUAGGAAGGAACACCAGUGGCGAAAGCGACCACCUGGACUGAUACUGACACUGAGGUGCGAAAGCGUGGGGAGCAAACAGGAUUAGAUACC
This 711-nucleotide ribosomal RNA is filed under the name uncultured bacterium. RNAcentral describes it as "bacterial SSU rRNA". It matches the Rfam family "Bacterial small subunit ribosomal RNA", at positions 79 to 786 of the family's 1533-position model. The record is from RNAcentral.